RNAcentral lists this ribosomal RNA (421 nucleotides) under uncultured Actinomycetaceae bacterium. RNAcentral's name for it is "bacterial SSU rRNA". It matches the Rfam family "Bacterial small subunit ribosomal RNA", at positions 356 to 774 of the family's 1533-position model. The record is from RNAcentral. Lineage: Bacteria; Bacillati; Actinomycetota; Actinomycetes; Actinomycetales; Actinomycetaceae.
GGGGGAUAUUGCACAAUGGACGGAAGUCUGAUGCAGCGACGCCGCGUGGGGGAUGAAGGCUUUCGGGUUGUAAACCUCUUUUAUUCCUGAACAAGGCUUGGAUUGUUGUCUGGGUUGAGGGUAGGGGGUGAAUAAGCGCCGGCUAACUACGUGCCAGCAGCCGCGGUAAUACGUAGGGCGCGAGCGUUGUCCGGAUUUAUUGGGCGUAAAGAGCUCGUAGGCGGGUUUGUUGCGUCUGCUGUGAAAACGCGGGGCUUAACUUCGCGCGUGCAGUGGGUACGGGCAGGCUAGAGUGCGGUAGGGGAGAUUGGAAUUCCUGGUGUAGCGGUGGAAUGCGCAGAUAUCAGGAGGAACACCGAUGGCGAAGGCAGGUCUCUGGGCCGUUACUGACGCUGAGGAGCGAAAGCGUGGGGAGCGAACA